ACUCCUACGGGAGGCAGCAGUGGGAAUCUUGGACAAUGGGGGAACCCGUAGCAUCCAGCCAUGCCGCGUGAGCGAUGAAGGCCCUUAGGGUUGUAAAGCUCUUUCAGGUGGGAAGAUAAUGACGGUACCACCAGAAGAAGCCCGCUAACAUCCGUGCCAGCAGCCGCGGUAAUACGGAGGGGCGUAGCGUUGUUCGGAAUUACUGGGCGUAAAGCGCACGUAGGCGGAUUGGAAAGUU
RNAcentral lists this ribosomal RNA (238 nucleotides) under uncultured bacterium. RNAcentral describes it as "partial 16S ribosomal RNA". It matches the Rfam family "Bacterial small subunit ribosomal RNA", at positions 335 to 589 of the family's 1533-position model. The record is from RNAcentral.